Molecule: long non-coding RNA, 6580 nt
Filed under: Nicotiana tabacum (common tobacco)
Lineage: Eukaryota; Viridiplantae; Streptophyta; Magnoliopsida; Solanales; Solanaceae
Description: long non-coding RNA (NTAB_LNC009299)
Source: RNAcentral
GGGCUUUAAUUUUCCCACCUAACACGUCCAACAAUCACCUAAGAGCUAACACAAACACAUAAAUAAUUCUAAGAUUUCAUAAAUCUAGCAUUUCUUACUGAUUUCUGGUUUUUCUCUUUUUCUUUCUGAGUACUUUCACUGCUUCGAGCUUGAAGCUUUGGGUCUUAAGCAAUUACAAGAAAUUCUUGUCUGGUCUGCUGCCCUCGAGAAGGUCAGUACACCUCAGACUCUUCUCUUUAGAUCUUCUUACUUGAAUAUCUUGAAUAUGCUUGUUGUCUUCUGCUAACUAUAUUCGUUUACGAUGUUUGUCAUAAGUAUAUAAAUGUUAUUUCCAGCUUAUGAUAAAGUGUUGUUAACUUGUGACUAUUUGUCAUGUUUCUGAAUAUCUCUAAUUGGUAUUGACUAGACUAUUAUGUGACCUUAAUAACUUUUAUCUCAGAAUCCAAAUUGUUUACAUGAUUAAGUUUUCCUUAAUAUGCCUCAAUGACCUUCCAUCCUUGUCUAGACUUCAGAUUUUCUGUUAAUGGUUCUAUUGUGAUCUUUAUCUCUACACAACAUUUCUACAUUCUGUUGUUUUGUAAUCGAGUUUGUUGUUGAUAAUCCUAACUAGGAUAAACCCAAGAGUGCAUAGUUUAAUCCUUCACCACUUAACUGAAGCAUGAGAAUUCUAAGUGUUUAAGUACUCUCCUUCUCAGUAUCAAUGUUUGUUCAUUUAAGAGCAUCUUUCUAAGUUAUUAUUAUGAUAGUCUUAUAUUCAUAUUUCACUAUUGGUUGCACAUAUAUGAAACAAUCUUAUUAAUCUGAACUCUUAUGAACAUCAAUAGCCCUUUUGUAUAUAUUCUGUUAAGAUUAAGUUAUCCCUUUUCAUAAAGAUAGGUCAUAGUUAUAUUUGUUAUACUUGAAUGAUAAUUGUUGUUAAGCUGAACAUAACUGCCUCAUGUUUAGAUGUAACUCUCAGUCGCAUAGCUGAGUUAAACAUGUUUGGUGUAGCACUUUUCUUGCCUUAAUCCCUUUAUGGCAUUGCUUUAGUCCUCUCUUUCCUGCUAAUUUGAACUAGAUUCGAUUUUUAAAUCCUAUAAGAAGUUCUUUAUUGCUACUACCUGAACAUGAUGGUUUUCUUCAGGUUAAUACUAUUAUGAUAAUGUGAUCUUGUUGAGCACCUUUAGGGACUCCAUAUUUGAAUCUGUAAGCCUGUAGUUCUACUAAGAAUCCAGAUCAUGUUCUGAUACCUUUGAUAACACCUUAGAAGUUGUUUGAUUAUGACUGUUUGUUUGAACCUUUACUAAUGCUUUUAAAAUUUCCAAGUAGUGUAGUUAAUCUAUACAUGUGCUGGUGGUAAGACCUAAGCUAACCAACCUGUAAUUAGUCUGCCAAGGCAGAGGUAUCUAUAUUUCUGAGUUGCUGCAUAUCUGAAAUGUGUGUUUUUUGCCUAUCCUUUAAAUGUGAUCCCAAGUGUUUAGAUCUUCAACAGUAAUACUAUAGUGUUUCUUCCCCUCCCCUAUAUGUGUUUUGAAAUCUGACCUUCAGACUUGUUUGAUAUGUGUUCUAUUCCUUUAGUACUGGAAAUGAAGUUAAAAAUGAAAAUGUUCUUAUGUCCUUAUGUUAUUCUGUCAAGGGAAAAGUAUACUUCUGUUGUAGGGAGUAUUCUGGAAGUUAGUUUAUAUUGAAAGGGCCUCAUUGGCACUUAAACCCAUAGAGAAAAAUGAGUCGCUAGUGGUUAAAGGUAUUUGAGAGUAGAGUUUAACUCUAGGUUGGGCUGCUCUCCCCGGCACAAGCAUUGCCAUGGGCCUUGAGACCCUUGAGAACUUUAAACUAUCGGCGGAUUCAAAGUGGACAGCGACCUUGAGUGGAACUCUCUCUUUAGCCCUUAAUUCAUUAACACUCAUCGUUCUCUUAGGGUUUAGUAUUUAAUUACAAAGAAAGGUUUUCAAUGUAAAUUAUUUAUCGUGUAUAACCACCAUAUUAGUAUAAGUUUCUCAUAGUAUUUGAGUAUUGAUAGUUUGUUACAUUUUGCUUCAAUCAUUUGUUUAUAUGUUUCAUACAUGGUUGAACAUGUAUAAUAUGUAUCUAAUGACCUUCUCUUCUUCUUUUUUGAGCAUAUAUAUUUAUUUGGGCCUGCUGAGUUCUUAAGGAACUUAGGCCCAAGCCCAGCCUUGCCAUAUUUUCUAGAAAUCUGAAGUCAGCUGUAGCCGUUCCUUUAUUGUUGGGCCUGCCUCUUUGAGGCCUAAUUACCAGAGUCCAAUCUUCUCCUUUAACUCCUUUAUUAUUUACUGCCUCGUCUCUUUAGUUUUAUUGCCUUGUCGCAUUUUGCUGCAUUCUUGUUAUUUUUUUAUCUCACAUGUAUAUAACAGUAUUAUAUUGGAUUGAGUACUUUAACUUAUAUCUUAAGUCAUAUAAAACUUAGGCAGGCCUUAAAUAACAUAGGAUUAAAAGAAGAAUUAGCUAGUAACUAAUCUCCCAUUCGCUAAUUAUAAAAUAUUUAUAUUAUUACUAUAUUUUUGUUUACCUUAUCUUAAAGAUUUUGAAGCCCAAAGCUAGCAAAGGACGACAACCACACUUUCAAAAGGAAAAAUCAGAUUAUAAACACAAGCUUUAUCUUCAAAAAGGGAAUCAAAUUAUUUCGAAAAAAAUGAAGUGUUGUCACCCCAAAGGAUUUUCAAAUAAUGGUUUUUCUUCAAGUCUUCAAAUCAAGGUAUAUCUUAGGCUUAUUCAUAUCUCAUUAGAACAAUAUACACCUUUAUGCUUUAGGAACAAGUGUUUUAAUCUAGUUUCUCCUUUUUUCACAUACUUUCUUAAUACAAACAUCUUAUAUCUCGUUUCAAAAGCUCUUUUCAAGUAUACAUGCACUAACGUUAUUUUCCUCUAUAAAUUCACACCCCUUUUAAACUACACCCUCCUUUUGUAAGAAUUAUGUCCUAAUAUACGGUAGGCCAUAUCUUUAUAACACUAGUUAAGGCAUAGUAUAAAUAAUUAAUUCUAAAUCUAGUCUAAGUCCUAUGGAGCUACCUCAGGUAGAUUUUAAGGGGUGCCUAAUACCUUCCCCUUAGAAGAACAAGAACCCUUACCCAUAAUCUCACUAGUUAGCAGACUAAUAAAGAAUAUGACUUAGUAAUUAAAUAGGUACCCUAGUAUACCUUUAAAUAUUAGGUGGCGACUCUCUUUCAUCAACAAUAUAGAAACUACAAGUUGAAUAUUGCUUUGACUAGUGUAAAUUUGGGUGCAACAGUGCUAAUAACCGGUUAUAGGGCCCAACUAAUACACUUUGAUUUUUGAGGACUCGAACUUCAGACAUCUGAUUAAGGAUGCAGGGAUCGUAUACAUCCCACCACAACCUUUGGUAGUCAUUUAUAAAAUAUGUAAUUGGGCGAAUAUGGUGGUUUCACUUGGGAGUUGACCGAUGGAUGAACUAUUUGGUGGAGGGCAAUUCACCAGUCUUCGUGUAACGAUCCGAUCGAUCAUUUUGUAUAAUUGCGCUCUGUUUUCCCUUUUUAUGAUUAACAAAUAUGUGUUUAUAAUUUUAUGACUUGCGAGGUUGGUUAGUUUCGUUCCAGGGAACUUUCGGGUUGAUUUGGACCCUUGAUUCUUGACUUGAAGUUUAAAUUAGAAAACAUGGAUCAAACUUUGAUUUUUGUGAAAACGACCCUGGAACAGUAUUUUUAUGGCUACGAUAGCUUCGUAUCAUGCAUUCGAACUUGGGCGUACGCCCGUAAUUGAUUUUGGAAAUCCGUAGGUUGAUUUGUGUUGAUUUACCGAAAUUCGGUAAUUUGAAGAUGAAAAGUUUGAUCGUAGAUUGACUUUUAGCUAUCGAGCUCGAAAUUUAAUUUUGGGACUUGGAAUAGGUCUGUUAAGGUAUUUAGAACUUGCCUGCAAAAUUUGGUGUUGUUUGGAGUUGAUUUGAUUGGAUUCAGAUGUUUAGUUGUAAUUUUAGAAAUUCUUGAACUUUACUUUGAAAUUCAUGUGUUUUAGUAUUUGAUUCAUAGUUUUAGCUGCUAUUUUUGUAUUUUGGUUAUACGAGUGAUUUCGUAUGAUGUUGUUAGACUUGUGUGGAUAUUUGGUUUGGAGCCCCGAGGGCUCAGAUGAGUUCCGGACAUGUAUCAGAAUGGUUUGAACUUAAAAGUUGGUGCUCUGAUGUCGCAUUUGCGAGCACCAGCCUCGUAAUUGCGAAGGUGACAAUAAGGGGGAAGAUGUCUCAAAUGCGACUUCCCCUUCACAUUUGCAAAGGCAAUAGAUUUUGGACUGAGUUCGCAAUUGCGAACAUUUGUUCGCUUUUGCGAAGUACCCAGCUUCGCAAUUGCGAAGCCUUUAUUGCAAAUGCGAUGUUGACUUAGGCCGUCAAGGUUUGCAAAUGCGAGGCUUGGUCAGCAAUUGCGAGGGUUCGCAAAUGCGAACCUUGUGUCGCAAAUGCGACAUCUGCAGCUGGUUAAAGACUAGGAGACGGGAUUUUUGAACAUAUUCUCUCAUUUUUGAACUCUAUAUUCGGUAGGAAGCGAUUUGGGUAAGUGGUUCUACUUUAUUUCUAAUCAUAUUCUAUCAAUAUAUCUUAUAUUUUAACAUCAAAAUCAUGUGAAUCAAAGUGAAAAAUUGUGAAUCUUUGUCAAGUUUUUGAAAAAUAAGAAAUUGAGUUUUGAGAGUCGAUUUGGACUCGGAUUUUGAAACUAAUCACAUAUAUGAACUCGCGGGUUAUGGGUAGACGGAAUCUAUCAUUGGGCCCGGAUUUUGAUUGGGCAAGCUCUGGGUUGACUUUUAUUGACUUUUUGGGAAAAAUAUAAAGAUCUUAGUUUUAUCUAUUGCAAUUGAUUUCUCUAGCAUUAUUUGAUGAUAUUAGGUCGAUUUUGGUUAGAUUUGAGCUGUGUAUCGGCGAAAUUUAAGGGAAAAGCUAUUUUCGAGUGUUGAAUUGACCUAGUUGAGGUUAGUGUCUUGCCUAACUUUGUGCGGGGGAACUACCCCUUAGGAUUGGUAUUGAUUGGGCUUUUGUGCUAUAUGAAAGCCAUGUACGCAAGGUGACGAGUAGGUACUCAGGUUGUACAUAAUUGAUCAGUUUAGGCUACUUAGACCAUUUUCAUGCUUUAAUUGAAUUGUAAUAUCAUGUUCUAAAUUCUUUUAGUCAAUCUAAUCUUACUUAUGUUAGUCUAUCCUUACAUGCCUUAAAUGAUUUUCUUAAUACUUGUUCUACGUUCUAACUGAUAAAUUUCUUUCAUGCUUAGUUGAACUUGUUGCCUCAAUUAAUGUUUCGUGUUAUCUCUCAUUGUUAUUAUCAUUAUUUGAAGUUAUUUUUAGUGUUACCUCUCAUUGUUGAUUAUCAUUAUUUGUAGUUAUUGUUCAUGUUAUCUCUUCCCUUAUUGAUUUCCCUUAUUUGAAGUCAUUGCUACACGUUUUCUCUUCUAUUGUGAGUUAUUCUUAUUUCACAUCGUGGUUAUACAUUGUAUCUCAUUGUUGAGUUAUUAGUGUUGAAGUUGUGAAAGUUUUUAUCACGUUGAGGCAAAAUUAUUAUCGUUGAAACAUCUUCCUUUUUGAGCAUUUUACAUUCAUUGUUGUUGUUGAUAUUCUUGUACCCGUUAUGGUGGAGCCGUAGACUAUUGUUGUGGAAACAUAGAUAUUGUGGAUUGUUGACAAAUUAUGAUAGAUGGGCACUUGUGGUGAGAGUUGUUAUUGUAAUGUGACAUUGACGCGUAUGCGGCGGUAUAAGCUUGGGGUUGAUGUGCAUCCGGCGGUAUAAGGUGGGACUUAUGUGCGUGUUACUUGUAGAGGAACUACAUGAAGCCACGCGGCAUCAUAAGGUGGGAUAAAGUGUGUGUAACUAUUUUGAAAAAACUGUUUUCAAAAUCUAUGUCAAAUGUAAGGCUCACGCGGAGGUACAAGGAAAGAUUGUGAUUAAAAUUAAAAAAUAUGAAUACGAGGCGGUACCUCGGUUGUGAUUCUUGAUUAUACGAGGAGGUACCUCGGUUGUGAUUUUAUUAUACACGAGACGAUACCUCGUUUUGAUUUUUGCUGUUUAUUUCAUGUUGCCAAGAUUUUUGGUGGGGAACAUUUCUUGUUGUUUCGUUCUUUAUUGUUCUAACAGUUGUUAUCCAUACAUGAUCAUUGUGGUUCUCUUUAGUUGCUUCUUUUAUGCUAUUCCUUAUUAGUUCAUGUUAUUAUCUUGGUUUGUAUCAGUUAUUUCUUCGCUUUCCAUUAUUUAUCCUUAUUAUUUUUCAUAUUGUUUAUUUAUAUCCUAGUAGGUGUCUUGACUUAACCUCGUCACUACUCUACCGAGGUUAGGCUUAAUACUUACUGGGUACCAUUGUGGCGUACUCAUACUAUGCUUCUGCAUAAUGUUUGUGCAGAUCCAGGUACGUCUGCUCGUGUCGGUUGUUAGAGAUCAUCUGUUAGCUGCUUCACGGAGACUUCAAGGUAUGCCUGCUCGGCGUCCGCAGGCCUCAGAGUUACCUUCCAUUAUUCUUAUUUAUUGUUGUAUUUUCUUUCGGACAGUGAUGUAGUAGUUACUCUAGUUUUACUCUGUAGAGCUUAUGACUCAGUUCCACCGAUUUUGGGAAAGUAUUUUUGAGGUUCUAUUUCAAAAGUUUAUAUCAAUUAUUCAGCC